UAAAAUAAGCUUUCAAGAAUUGUUUCUAUAGUUCAUUACUAGAGAAGUUUCUUUGAUCAUGUGAGCAUCUGAAACCAAGAGCAGACGAUGCAGCGUUCUCUUGUGGAGUGUGAAGUUGGUUUUUGGUGUUGCUUCACUGCAACUGCCGUUUGCCACUGGUGAUGGUUCUUCUCUGGCUCUUGGGGAGUAAGAGGGAGAGCACGCACUCUGCGUGGU
This 216-nucleotide small nucleolar RNA is filed under the name Carlito syrichta (Philippine tarsier). Its description in RNAcentral is "Small nucleolar RNA U3 (ENSTSYG00000019700.2)". It matches the Rfam family "Small nucleolar RNA U3". From Rfam's summary of the family: Small nucleolar RNAs (snoRNAs) are involved in the processing and modification of rRNA in the nucleolus. There are two main classes of snoRNAs: the box C/D class, and the box H/ACA class. Lineage: Eukaryota; Metazoa; Chordata; Mammalia; Primates; Tarsiidae. The record is from Rfam by way of RNAcentral.